RNAcentral lists this ribosomal RNA (826 nucleotides) under uncultured bacterium. RNAcentral describes it as "bacterial SSU rRNA". It matches the Rfam family "Bacterial small subunit ribosomal RNA", at positions 100 to 917 of the family's 1533-position model. The record is from RNAcentral.
GAACGGGUGAGUAACACGUAAACAAUCUGCCUGCAGAUUCGGGAUAACCUUGCCAACGCGGGGCUAAUACCGGAUGUGGUCGAGACUCCGCAUGGGGUUUUGAUUAAAGAUACGUAAGAGUCGUCUGCAGAUGAGUUUGCGUCCCAUUAGCUAGUUGGCGGGGUAACGGCCCACCAAGGCGAUGAUGGGUAGCCGGCCUGAGAGGGUGAACGGCCACAUUGGGACUGAGAUACGGCCCAGACUCCUACGGGAGGCAGCAGUAGGGAAUUUUGCGCAAUGGGCGAAAGCCUGACGCAGCAACGCCGCGUGAGUGAUGACGGCCUUCGGGUUGUAAAGCUCUGUUGGACGGGAAGAAAAGACGCAUGAAGAGUGCGUUAUGACGGUACCGUUCGAGGAAGCUCCGGCUAACUACGUGCCAGCAGCCGCGGUAAUACGUAGGGAGCGAGCGUUGUUCGGAAUUACUGGGCGUAAAGGGAGCGUAGGCGGGUUUGUAAGUUAGGGGUUUAAUGCAUGGGCUUAACCCAUGUCCGGCCUUUAAUACUGCAAGUCUUGAGUGUGGGAGAGGGCGAUGGAAUUCCAGGUGUAGCGGUGGAAUGCGUAGAUAUCUGGAAGAACACCAACAGCGAAGGCAGUCGCCUGGCCCGAUACUGACGCUGAAGCUCGAAAGUCGGGGGAGCAAACAGGAUUAGAUACCCUGGUAGUCCCGACCGUAAACGAUGAACACUAGUUGCCGGGAGAGUCAAUCCUUUCGGUGACGAAGCUAACGCAUUAAGUGUUCCGCCUGGGGAGUACGCCCGCAAGGGUGAAACUCAAAGGAAUUGACGGA